Molecule: long non-coding RNA, 370 nt
Organism: Mytilus californianus (California mussel)
Lineage: Eukaryota; Metazoa; Mollusca; Bivalvia; Mytilida; Mytilidae
Exons: 2
Source: RefSeq, a predicted model, not a curated record
UAUAUGUAAAAAAGGGGGGUAAAAUGUGAAAAAAAUAUCAUACGGAAAAAGUCUAUACAAAUUUGCAGACAGAUUCGUGUAUGAAUUACUUGAAGUAGAGUUUCUUUUUAAUAUACAAUUUUACAUUCUCAUAUAAAUUUAUAGAUCUGGUAUUUGAGAACUACAGAAGACAAAUUAAAGCAGAGUGCAAAAGGAAUUUUAAUAAUCAUUGAAAAUAUUCUGGCUUCAAAAUGCAUGGAAAUGGAGAUGGGACAAAAUGCAUUCUACCAUUUGAUAGCCCAGAAUGAAUUACUUUAAAAGGCUAACAAGAAGAGGAGGCUCGCAGUAGAAGAUACAGACUCUGAAUAAUUAAUAAAAUGUUAAAAUGCUA